Molecule: transfer RNA, 75 nt
Filed under: Candidatus Aerophobota bacterium
Lineage: Bacteria; Candidatus Aerophobota
Also listed under: 1 other name
Description: Candidatus Aerophobetes bacterium tRNA-Glu
Rfam family: tRNA
About the family: Transfer RNA (tRNA) molecules are approximately 80 nucleotides in length. Their secondary structure includes four short double-helical elements and three loops (D, anti-codon, and T loops). Further hydrogen bonds mediate the characteristic L-shaped molecular structure. tRNAs have two regions of fundamental functional importance: the anti-codon, which is responsible for specific mRNA codon recognition, and the 3' end, to which the tRNAs corresponding amino acid is attached (by aminoacyl-tRNA synthetases). tRNAs cope with the degeneracy of the genetic code in two manners: having more than one tRNA (with a specific anti-codon) for a particular amino acid; and 'wobble' base-pairing, i.e. permitting non-standard base-pairing at the 3rd anti-codon position.
Source: RNAcentral
GUCCCCCUCGUCUAGUCCGGCCAAGGACACCGGUUUCUCGAGCCGGUGACACAGGUUCAAAUCCUGUGGGGGACG